This 256-nucleotide unclassified non-coding RNA is filed under the name Hevea brasiliensis (rubber tree). Lineage: Eukaryota; Viridiplantae; Streptophyta; Magnoliopsida; Malpighiales; Euphorbiaceae. The record is from RNAcentral.
AAGGUGUGGAUGGAAAAGAUCGUGUUGUUUUGACAUUUGAUGGGAAGUAUUUGCCAUAUACUGAGCAGAAGUCAGAGCACAUGGCUUCAAGAGUCAAGACUGAGGCGAAUGGAAGUUAAUGAAUCCUGAUGUUGAUGAAUAUGCAAACAAUCCCUUCUCUUCUUUAAUGUGUGUAUGAACUUACUGUAGUAAGUCUUAUCUUAAUUUGUUAAACGAUAUGUAGGUAUCAUCUUGUUGUACUUGGAUUGGGCUACAA